RNAcentral lists this ribosomal RNA (253 nucleotides) under uncultured bacterium. RNAcentral's name for it is "partial 16S ribosomal RNA". It matches the Rfam family "Bacterial small subunit ribosomal RNA", at positions 524 to 776 of the family's 1533-position model. The record is from RNAcentral.
UACAGAGGUCCCAAGCGUUGUUCGGAUUCACUGGGCGUAAAGGGUGCGUAGGUGGCCGGGUAAGUCUGAUGUGAAAUCUCGGAGCUUAACUCCGAAACUGCAUUGGAUACUAUCCGGCUUGAGGGUCGGAGGGGGGACUGGAAUUCUCGGUGUAGCAGUGAAAUGCGUAGAUAUCGAGAGGAACACCAGUGGCUAAGGCGAGUCCCUGGACGACUCCUGACACUGAGGCACGAAAGCUAGGGGAGCAAACAGG